This 72-nucleotide transfer RNA is filed under the name Chitinophagaceae bacterium. RNAcentral's name for it is "tRNA-Met". It matches the Rfam family "tRNA". From Rfam's summary of the family: Transfer RNA (tRNA) molecules are approximately 80 nucleotides in length. Their secondary structure includes four short double-helical elements and three loops (D, anti-codon, and T loops). The record is from RNAcentral. Lineage: Bacteria; Pseudomonadati; Bacteroidota; Chitinophagia; Chitinophagales; Chitinophagaceae.
CGCGAAGUAGAGCAGCGGUAGCUCGUUGGGCUCAUAACCCAAAGGUCGGGAGUUUCGAUCCUCCCUUCGCAA